CAUACUACCAUGUGACUGGAAUAAUUUGUCUGACACCUUUAUUGUCUUCUCGUAAAUAGCCUUUACAAUUAGUAAUUGUACAAUUUAAAGCGUAGGUAGGUCAUGCGAUACGCCAAAUCUUCGUAGUGUACUAGCUCCAGCAGAAGGCGCCAUAUCCGUACCUGAAAAUCUGCACCCCAGAGCCUGACUGGCAGAGGACCUGAGCCCUAGGACCAUGCUUCAGGACUACCUGGCAUGAUGACUCCUUGCUGUCCCCAGUCCACCUGGCCGUGCUGCUGCUCUAGUUUCAACUGUCCUGCC
Molecule: long non-coding RNA, 300 nt
Organism: Salmo salar (Atlantic salmon)
Lineage: Eukaryota; Metazoa; Chordata; Actinopteri; Salmoniformes; Salmonidae
Source: RefSeq, a predicted model, not a curated record